Long non-coding RNA from Chrysolophus pictus (golden pheasant), 1514 nucleotides. The record is from Ensembl. NCBI's taxonomy places the organism in Eukaryota, Metazoa, Chordata, Aves, Galliformes, Phasianidae.
GGCUGAGCUGGGGGGGGGAGGGGGAGGUUGUGGGGCUGAGCUGUGGGGCUGAGCUGUGGGGCACAGAGGGAGGUUGUGGGGCUGAGCUGUGGGGCACAGAGGAGGUUGUGGGGCUGAGCUGUGGGGCAGGGAGCUCAGCUCCAGGUCUGGGACUCAGGUGUGACCCAUAGCGCGCAGCCCCACGGCGCCCAGCCCCACACAGCUCCCAGCCCCACAAGUCCCAGCCCCACAGGUUCCAGCCCCACAUAGCUCCCAGCCCCAUAGAUCUCAGACCCACACAGUGCCCAGUCCCACAGGUCUCAGCCCCAUAGACCCCAACCCCACAGAUCUCAGCCCCACAGAUCCCAACCUCACAGCUCCCAGCCCCACAUAGCUCCUAGCCCCACAGCUCCCAGCCCCACACAAGUCCCAGCCCCAUGGAUCUCAGACCCACACAGCUCCCAGCCCGUCAGCUCUCAGCCCCACAGAUCCCAACCCCACAGAUCUCAGCCCCACAGCUCCCAGCCCCACAAGUCCCAGACCCACACAGAUCUCAGCCCCACAGAUCCCAACCCCAUAGAUCUCAGACCCACAGAACUCAGAGCCACACAGCUCCCAGCCCCACAGCUCCCAGCCCCACAGAUCUCUGACCCACAGAUCUCAGCCCCACAGCUCAGCCUCACAACCUCCCUCUGUGCCCCACAGCUCAGCCCCACAACCUCCCUCCCUGCCCCACAGCUCAGCCCCACAAGUCCCAGCCCCACACAGCUCCCAGCCCCACAGCUCCCAGCCCCACAGAUCUCUGACCCACGGAUCUCUGCCCCACAGCUCAGCCCCACAACGUCCCUCCCUGCCCCACAGCUCAGCCCCACAACGUCCCUUCCUGCCCCACAGCUCAGCCCCACAACCUCCCUUUGUGCCCCACAGCUCAGCCCCACAACCUGCUCCCUGCCCCACACGCCAUGCACUGUGAUGAUGAGGGAAUCCACUCUCCGUCCCCGUGGCCCUGGAGCUGCCCACGUGCGCGGCGCCGCGCGGAGGAGCUGCAGUUCGGCCCCACGGGGCUCCUGCCCUCCAACCCCGACUUCAUCCGCGACUUCUGGGCCUUUUUCGAGCGGCUGCGGCGCUUCCAGAGCCGGAAACCUCGUCCGACCCCGACCCCAAAAAGCAGCAGGAAGGAGCCAUCGCCGACCCCAAAACACAGCAGGAAGGAUCCGUCCCCAUCUCCAUCCCUGACCCUAAAACGCAGCAGGAAGGAGCCAUCACCGACCCCGACCCCAAAAAGCGGCAGGAAGGAUCCGUCCCCAUCUCCAUCCCUGACCCCAAAACGCAGCAGGAAGGAGCCAUCGCCGACCCCAAAACACAGCAGGAAGGAUCCGUCCCCAUCUCCAUCCCUGACCCUAAAACGCAGCAGGAAGGAGCCAUCACCGACCCCGACCCCAAAAAGCGGCAGGAAGGAUCCGUCCCCAUCUCCAUCCCUGACCCCAAAACGCAGCAGGAAGGAGCCAUCGCCGACCCCAAAACACAGCAGGAAG